This is a long non-coding RNA of Coregonus clupeaformis (lake whitefish), 719 nucleotides long. RefSeq lists it as uncharacterized. NCBI's taxonomy places the organism in Eukaryota, Metazoa, Chordata, Actinopteri, Salmoniformes, Salmonidae. The transcript has 2 exons. The record is from RefSeq and is a predicted model, not a curated record.
UCCUCAAAAUGACUUGACAUUAACCAGGUUUCCACCCAACACUUUUGUCCAUAAUAAUCUCAUCAUAUAGCAGGCUAUACCAGUACUGUACAGGGCCGGCGUUAUGGGCGGGCUCUAGGGCGCCUUGCCCGCCCUACCGUACCUCCUUGCCCAUCCAAAUAAAAUAUUGAAAUAUUGAUCAUUUAUUUGAUCGAGACGCGCGCCGACAGACACUCAAUCUCAGAUAAAGCAUCCGAGAGAGCGAAACAGCGCCACUCUGUCUCCGUGUAGACCAUGUAUCUGAUACUGUCUGGACAAAAAGAGUAUGGCAUGUCAUACUUUUUCUGGCCAGACCGCAUCAGAUACAUGCGCUACAUAUAAGUAAUGCCCCUUGCCGCGCGGUGAAACACCGCUUCACAUUCAUUUUCAACGGAAGGAAAGCGGUGAGAGGGCGGUGCGAAAGACAGCAUUUCCCAGCUUUAUGGAAAUCACCCAGCGGCGGCGACCAAUCAUAUCGAGUGGUUCCCAUGACGACUUUGACGCUAAGCGACCCAAGGCUGAGAGGCUUCUUCAGCAAAGAUGGCUGACAAAAAUACUAGGACGGAAGCAAAUGGACUCCUGAGAAAACCAGCAAACCAGGCUGUCGUCUUGUGGAACAGUGGAUGUAAAGAAUCUAGCGUAGAAUCCCGUAUUAUCGGCAUAUUCAACAGCGUUUAAGAAAUAUAUUACCUUCAACAGUG